CAUAUCAAUAAGCGGAGGAAAAGAAACUAACAAGGAUUCCCCUAGUAACUGCGAGUGAAGCGGGAAAAGCUCAAAUUUAAAAUCUGGUGGUCUUUGGCCAUCCGAGUUGUAAUCUAGAGAAGUGUUAUCCGCGCUGGACCGUGUACAAGUCUCCUGGAAUGGAGCGUCAUAGAGGGUGAGAAUCCCGUCUUUGACACGGACUACCAGGGCUUUGUGAUGCGCUCUCAAAGAGUCGAGUUGUUUGGGAAUGCAGCUCAAAAUGGGUGGUAAAUUCCAUCUAAAGCUAAAUAUUGGCGAGAGACCGAUAGCGAACAAGUACCGUGAGGGAAAGAUGAAAAGAACUUUGGAAAGAGAGUUAAACAGUACGUGAAAUUGCUGAAAGGGAAACGCUUGAAGUCAGUCGCGUUGUCUGGGGAUCAACCUUGCUUUUGCUGGGCGUACUUUCCAGAUGACGGGUCAGCAUCAAUUUUGACCGUUGGAUAAAGAUUAGAGGAAUGUGGCAUCUUCGGAUGUGUUAUAGCCUUUGGUUGUAUACAACGGUUGGGAUUGAGGAACUCAGCACGCCGCAAGGCCGGGUACUUGUACCACGUUCGUGCUUAGGAUGCUGGCAUAAUGGCUUUAAUCGACCCGUCUUGAAACACGGACCAAGGAGUCUAACAUGCCUGCGAGUAUUUGGGUGGUAAACCCGAGUGCGUAAUGAAAGUGAAAGUUGAGAUCCUUGUCAUGGGGAGCAUCGACGCCCGGACCAGACCUUUUGUGACGGAUCUGCGGUAGAGCAUGUAUGUUGGGACCCGAAAGAUGGUGAACUAUGCCUGAAUAGGGUGAAGCCAGAGGAAACUCUGGUGGAGGCUCGUAGCGAUUCUGACGUGCAAAUCGAUCGUCAAAUUUGGGUAUAGGGGCGAAAGACUA
This 909-nucleotide ribosomal RNA is filed under the name Pholiota lenta. Its description in RNAcentral is "partial large subunit ribosomal RNA". It matches the Rfam family "Eukaryotic large subunit ribosomal RNA", at positions 39 to 933 of the family's 3401-position model. The record is from RNAcentral. Lineage: Eukaryota; Fungi; Basidiomycota; Agaricomycetes; Agaricales; Strophariaceae.